GCGAAAGUAGCUCAGCUGGUAGAGCGCAACCUUGCCAAGGUUGAGGUCGCGGGUUCGAAUCCCGUCUUUCGCUCUA
Molecule: transfer RNA, 76 nt
Filed under: Phaeodactylibacter sp.
Lineage: Bacteria; Pseudomonadati; Bacteroidota; Saprospiria; Saprospirales; Haliscomenobacteraceae
Description: tRNA-Gly
Rfam family: tRNA
About the family: Transfer RNA (tRNA) molecules are approximately 80 nucleotides in length. Their secondary structure includes four short double-helical elements and three loops (D, anti-codon, and T loops).
Source: RNAcentral